GCCAGCGGCGAUAGUAUGUUGAAUACACAGUUCCCAAUGGAUCAUUGAAGUUAAGCAACGUUACACGUGGUUGGUAUCUGCAUGGGUGACCAUAUGGACAAUUGCAUUCUACUAGCU
This 117-nucleotide ribosomal RNA is filed under the name Diaphorina citri (Asian citrus psyllid). The record is from RNAcentral. Lineage: Eukaryota; Metazoa; Arthropoda; Insecta; Hemiptera; Psyllidae.